AGUGAACGCUGGCGGUAGGCCUAACACAUGCAAGUCGAACGGCAGCACAGUAAGAGCUUGCUCUUACGGGUGGCGAGUGGCGGACGGGUGAAGAAUACAUCGGAACCUACUUUUUCGUGGGGGAUAACGUAGGGAAACUUACGCUAAUACCGCAUACGACCUACGGGUGAAAGCAGGGGAUCUUCGGACCUUGCGCGUUUGUUUUAGCCGAUGUCGGAUUAGCUAGUUGGCGGGGUAAAGGCCCACCAAGGCGACGAUCCGUAGCUGGUCUGAGAGGAUGAUCAGCCACACUGGAACUGAGACACGGUCCAGACUCCUACGGGAGGCAGCAGUGGGGAAUAUUGGGCAAUGGGCGCAAGCCUGAUCCAGCCAUACCGCGUGAGUGAAGAAGGCCUUCGGGUUGUAAAGCCCUUCUGUUGGGAAAGAAAAGCAGCAGGUUAAUACCCCGCUGUUCUGACGGUACCCAAAGAAUAAGCACCGGCUAACUUCGUG
Molecule: ribosomal RNA, 492 nt
Filed under: uncultured bacterium
Lineage: Bacteria
Description: partial 16S ribosomal RNA
Rfam family: Bacterial small subunit ribosomal RNA
Source: RNAcentral